UACGGGAGGCAGCAGUGAGGAAUAUUGCGCAAUGGGGGAAACCCUGACGCAGCGACGCCGCGUGAAUGAUGAAGGCCUUCGGGUCGUAAAAUUCUGUCAGAUGGGAAGAAGUGUAUGUUGCUUAAUACGUGAUAUAUUUGACGGUACCAUCAAAGGAAGCACCGGCUAACUCCGUGCCAGCAGCCGCGGUAAUACGGAGGGUGCAAGCGUUGUUCGGAAUUACUGGGCGUAAAGGGCGCGUAGGCGGCUUGUUAAGUCAGAUGUGAAAGUCCACGGCUCAACCGUGGAAGUGCAUUUGAAACUGGCAGGCUUGAGUAUGGGAGGGGGAAGUGGAAUUCCCGGUGUAGAGGUGAAAUUCGUAGAUAUCGGGAGGAACACCGGUGGCGAAGGCGACUUCCUGGCCCAAUACUGACGCUGAGGUGCGAAAGCGUGGGGAGCAA
This 440-nucleotide ribosomal RNA is filed under the name uncultured bacterium. RNAcentral's name for it is "bacterial SSU rRNA". It matches the Rfam family "Bacterial small subunit ribosomal RNA", at positions 340 to 771 of the family's 1533-position model. The record is from RNAcentral.